UACGAAGGGGGCUAGCGUUGCUCGGAAUCACUGGGCGUAAAGGGUGCGUAGGCGGGUCUUUAAGGCAGGGGUGAAAUCCUGGAGCUCAACUCCAGAACUGCCUUUGAUACUGGCGAUCUUGAGUCCGGAAGAGGUGAGUGGAACUCCUAGUGUAGAGGUGGAAUUCGUAGAUAUUAGGAAGAACACCAGUGGCGAAGGCGGCUCACUGGUCCGGUACUGACGCUGAGGUGCGAAAGCGUGGGGAGCAAACAGG
This 253-nucleotide ribosomal RNA is filed under the name uncultured bacterium. RNAcentral describes it as "partial 16S ribosomal RNA". It matches the Rfam family "Bacterial small subunit ribosomal RNA", at positions 524 to 776 of the family's 1533-position model. The record is from RNAcentral.